Molecule: ribosomal RNA, 419 nt
Filed under: bacterium
Lineage: Bacteria
Description: partial 16S ribosomal RNA
Rfam family: Bacterial small subunit ribosomal RNA
Source: RNAcentral
UGGGGGAUAUUGCACAAUGGGCGAAAGCCUGAUGCAGCGACGCCGCGUGGGGGAUGAAGGCCUUCGGGUUGUAAACUUCUUUUGCUCUGAACAAGGCAUGCUAAUGGGUGUGUUGAGUGUAGGGGUUGAUUAGCGCCGGCUAACUACGUGCCAGCAGCCGCGGUAAUACGUAGGGCGCGAGCGUUGUCCGGAAUUAUUGGGCGUAAAGGGCUUGUAGGUGGCUGGUUGCGUCUGUCGUGAAAGCUCAUGGCUUAACUGUGGGUUUGCGGGGUGUACGGGCUGGCUUGAGUGCAGUAGGGGAGGCUGGAAUUCCUGGUGUAGCGGUGGAAUGCGCAGAUAUCAGGAGGAAUACCGGUGGAGAAGGCGGGUCUCUGGGCUGUUACUGACACUGAGGAGCGAAAGCAUGGGGAGCGAACAGG